AGCUUUGAGACAUUUGGGUAACGGCCAUUGCAAUACUGCCUCCAGUUUGCGUGGGUCCAUCUUGAAGCCAGAAGGGGAUAUUACAUACCCAAGGAAUUGUAUUUCAGUCUGGUCAAACUGGCACUUUUCUAGCUUGCAAUAUAAGCCAUUCUCCAGCAGGGUUUUUAACAUGGUUUUCACAUGUUCGUGUUGAGUACGUAGGUCUGGGGAAUAGAUGAGAAUAUCAUCUAGGUACAGCAGCACGAACAUGUGGAGGUAUUCUCUGAGGACAUCGUUUAUAAAGUCUUGGAAUACCUCUGGGGCAUUGCACAAAACAAACGGCAUGACCAGGUACUCAUAAUGUCAC
This is a non-coding RNA of Pelobates cultripes (western spadefoot toad), 346 nucleotides long. The record is from the annotation of a GenBank genome assembly. NCBI's taxonomy places the organism in Eukaryota, Metazoa, Chordata, Amphibia, Anura, Pelobatidae.